This 253-nucleotide ribosomal RNA is filed under the name uncultured bacterium. RNAcentral's name for it is "partial 16S ribosomal RNA". It matches the Rfam family "Bacterial small subunit ribosomal RNA", at positions 524 to 776 of the family's 1533-position model. The record is from RNAcentral.
UACGAAGGGUGCAAGCGUUACUCGGAAUUACUGGGCGUAAAGGGUGCGUAGGUGGUUUUUUAAGUCCGUUGUGAAAUCCCUGGGCUCAACCUGGGAAUGGCAGUGGAUACUGGAAAGCUAGAGUGCGGUAGAGGGUAGUGGAAUUCCCGGUGUAGCAGUGAAAUGCGUAGAGAUCGGGAGGAACACCAGUGGCGCAAGCGGCUAUCUGGACUGACAUUGACGCUGAGGCACGAAAGCGUGGGGAUCAAACAGG